This 497-nucleotide ribosomal RNA is filed under the name uncultured bacterium. Its description in RNAcentral is "partial 16S ribosomal RNA". It matches the Rfam family "Bacterial small subunit ribosomal RNA", at positions 28 to 507 of the family's 1533-position model. The record is from RNAcentral.
GAUGAACGCUGGCGGCGUGCCUAAUACAUGCAAGUCGAGCGAACGGACGAGAAGCUUGCUUCUCUGAUGUUAGCGGCAGACGGGUGAGUAACACGUGGAUAACCUACCUAUAAGACUGGGAUAACUUCGGGAAACCGGAGCUAAUCCCGGAUAAUAUUUUGAACCGUAUGGUUCAAAAGUGAAAUACGGUCUUGCUGUCACUUAUAGAUGGAUCCGCGCUGCAUUAGCUAGUUGGUAAGGUAACGGCUUACCAAGGCAACGAUGCAUAGCCGACGUGAGAGGGUGGUCGGCGACACUGGAGCGGAGACACCGUCACGAAUCCUACGGGACGCAGCAGUAGGGAAUCGGCGGCAAAAGGCGGAAGCCUUACAGAGCAACGCCGAGUGAGAGAUGAAGGUCUUCGGAUCGUAAUGAUCUGUUAUUAGGUAAGAACAUAUGUGUAAGGAACUGUACAGAUCGUGACGGUACCUAAUCAAAAAGCCCCGGCUAACUACGUG